AACAAGGCGUACCUGCGGACCUGCGGAAGGAUCAUUACCAGAGUGCCUUCAGGCUCUCCAACCCACUGUGAACAUACCUACGUUCCCCCGGCGGGCCCAGCGCGCGGCGGCUCCGGCCGCCCGCGUCCGCCGAGGGCAUCUCAAACCCGAAUUUAUUCGUGUCUUCUGAGGGGCGAAAGCCCGUAAAACAAAAUGAAUCAAAACUUUUAACAACGGAUCU
This 220-nucleotide unclassified non-coding RNA is filed under the name soil metagenome. Its description in RNAcentral is "partial contains 5.8S ribosomal RNA, internal transcribed spacer 2, and large subunit ribosomal RNA". The record is from RNAcentral.